RNAcentral lists this ribosomal RNA (403 nucleotides) under uncultured bacterium. RNAcentral's name for it is "bacterial SSU rRNA". It matches the Rfam family "Bacterial small subunit ribosomal RNA", at positions 30 to 430 of the family's 1533-position model. The record is from RNAcentral.
AUUGAACGCUGGCGGAAUGCUUUACACAUGCAAGUCGAACGGCAGCACGGGUGCUUGCACCUGGUGGCGAGUGGCGAACGGGUGAGUAAUGCACCGGAACGUAUCCAAUAAUGGGGGAUAACGCACCGAAAGGUGUGCUAAUACCGCAUACGCCCUGAGGGGGAAAGCGGGGGAUCGUAAGACCUCGCGUUAAUGGAGCGGCCGAUGCCGGAUUAGCUAGUUGGUGAGGUAAAGGCUCACCAAGGCGACGAUCCGUAGCUGGUCUGAGAGGACGACCAGCCACACUGGAACUGAGACACGGUCCAGACUCCUACGGGAGGCAGCAGUGGGGAAUUUUGGACAAUGGGCGCAAGCCUGAUCCAGCCAUUCCGCGUGAGUGAAGAAGGCCUUCGGGUUGGUUAAA